GCGAGAAUGGCGGAAUUGGUAUACGCACCAUCUUGAGGGGGUGGCGCUGGAAACGGCGUGAGGGUUCAAGUCCCUCUUCUCGCACCA
Molecule: transfer RNA, 87 nt
Filed under: Ignavibacteria bacterium
Lineage: Bacteria; Pseudomonadati; Ignavibacteriota; Ignavibacteria
Description: tRNA-Leu
Rfam family: tRNA
About the family: Transfer RNA (tRNA) molecules are approximately 80 nucleotides in length. Their secondary structure includes four short double-helical elements and three loops (D, anti-codon, and T loops). Further hydrogen bonds mediate the characteristic L-shaped molecular structure. tRNAs have two regions of fundamental functional importance: the anti-codon, which is responsible for specific mRNA codon recognition, and the 3' end, to which the tRNAs corresponding amino acid is attached (by aminoacyl-tRNA synthetases). tRNAs cope with the degeneracy of the genetic code in two manners: having more than one tRNA (with a specific anti-codon) for a particular amino acid; and 'wobble' base-pairing, i.e. permitting non-standard base-pairing at the 3rd anti-codon position.
Source: RNAcentral